RNAcentral lists this ribosomal RNA (329 nucleotides) under uncultured bacterium. RNAcentral describes it as "bacterial SSU rRNA". It matches the Rfam family "Bacterial small subunit ribosomal RNA", at positions 354 to 677 of the family's 1533-position model. The record is from RNAcentral.
UGAGGGAAUAUUUGGGGUCAAUGGGCGGAAGCCUGAACCAGCCAUGCCGCGUGAAGGAAUAAGGCCCUAUGGGUCGUAAACUUCUUUUGGCGGGGAGCAAUAAGGUCUACGUGUAGACCGAUGAGAGUACUCGUUGAAUAAGCAUCGGCUAACUCCGUGCCAGCAGCCGCGGUAAUACGGAGGAUGCGAGCGUUAUCCGGAUUUAUUGGGUUUAAAGGGUGCGUAGGCUGUUUGUCAAGUCAGAGGUGAAAGGCCGCAGCUCAACUGUGGAAUUGCCUUUGAUACUGGCAGGCUUGAAUACUGUUGCCGUGGGAGGAAUGAGUAGUGUA